UUAACGGCUGCCAGUGCUACGUGGAAAUGAAGCCUAUCCUUCAGCCAAGGCUGCCUGGAACCUGGAUACCACACGGUGUCCCAGAAGCGAUGGUGGACCAGAAAAGCCUCCCCACCCCAGGAAACCAGUGAGACAGCAUGCAUCACAACCCUUGGGCAGAGUGAGAGACCCUGGGAUGGUACCGGCAACCCCAAACGUGGUGAGGAAAUCGAGGCCCAGAGAAGUAAAAUGGCCAAGGUCACAAACCAAGCAAAUGGCAGAACCGGGAUAAGAACCGAAUCCUGAGCUCUUAGAAUGUCCUGUGUGACAAGAAAUACAAGGUCCACCUGGAUUCUCUUAAGCUCUCAGAGGGAAGAAACUGGGUGUGUUAAACACCUUGAUACUCACCCGGCCCCACAAAACUUAGGUUAACACGGCAGUGUCGAAACUCACCAUGAGACACCACAGUCUUGUCACUAACAUGGCCUCUACCACCUGCUACAGUUUCUUUUUUCAAACAGUGCAACACAGCAAUGACAUCUUAAUAACUAUUAAAUCUCAGCAGCUGAUUAACAUCCGGUGAAUUAAUGGAGAGUACACAACCGCACAAUAGUAAUAUGGUAAAAUGGAAUUGUGAUGUUCUCUGAAGAUUGUGAGCUUGCGCAGGACAUGGGCUAUGUCUGAUCUGCUGGAUCCCCCCCUGGUGCCUGGUACAUAAAUGCUUAAUGAAUAGCACAACUACCUACCUAAGGAAUGCACCCCCAGAUUCCCUCCCUGCCCAUCCGACUGGUAGAAAAGAUGAGGACCUCUGGAUCUCAAGAAUUGAAAUGUGGAUUUUUUUGCAGAUAAACUAAAAAUGAUAUUAACAAAAAAAUUCUGGUAAGGUCUAAUGUCUUUGGCUUUAGUUGUGCAAAUGCAGAUCGAGUCCCAUUCUCCUGGAAUACUGCUAUCUGGGAAUUCCCUUUCUUCAGAAAGGGGAGGCCAGGGCUGGCGCCAUUCCACUGUCUUACUGGUCCUGUGCCUGAAGCUGAAAAGAGAGGUCUACAAACUCAUGGAAGGCUCCCGGGUAGGAGCCGGACCUCCUCAAUCCCCUCCCU
This is a long non-coding RNA of Tachyglossus aculeatus (Australian echidna), 1076 nucleotides long. RefSeq lists it as uncharacterized. The record is from RefSeq and is a predicted model, not a curated record. Lineage: Eukaryota; Metazoa; Chordata; Mammalia; Monotremata; Tachyglossidae. The transcript has 5 exons.